RNAcentral lists this ribosomal RNA (255 nucleotides) under uncultured bacterium. RNAcentral's name for it is "partial 16S ribosomal RNA". It matches the Rfam family "Bacterial small subunit ribosomal RNA", at positions 524 to 776 of the family's 1533-position model. The record is from RNAcentral.
UACGUAGGGUGCGAGCGUUAAUCGGAAUUACUGGGCGUAAAGCGCACGCAGGCGGUCGAUUAAGUUUGGAGUGACAGUUGGUGGCUUAACUGCCAAAGUGCUUUGAAAACUGAUCGACUUGAGGGCUUCAGAGGGACACGGAAUUCCGGGUGGAGUGGUGAAAUGCGUAGAGAUCCGGAGGAACACCGAAGGCGAAGGCAGUGUCCUGGGGAGUACCUGACGCUCAGGUGACGGAAAGCCAGGGGAGCGAACGGG